UAGGGAAUCUUCGGCAAUGGACGAAAGUCUGACCGAGCAACGCCGCGUGAGUGAAGAAGGUUUUCGGAUCGUAAAACUCUGUUGUUAGAGAAGAACAAGGACGUUAGUAACUGAACGUCCCCUGACGGUAUCUAACCAGAAAGCCACGGCUAACUACGUGCCAGCAGCCGCGGUAAUACGUAGGUGGCAAGCGUUGUCCGGAUUUAUUGGGCGUAAAGCGAGCGCAGGCGGUUUCUUAAGUCUGAUGUGAAAGCCCCCGGCUCAACCGGGGAGGGUCAUUGGAAACUGGGAGACUUGAGUGCAGAAGAGGAGAGUGGAAUUCCAUGUGUAGCGGUGAAAUGCGUAGAUAUAUGGAGGAACACCAGUGGCGAAGGCGGCUCUCUGGUCUGUAUCUGACGCUGAGGCUCGAAAGCGUGGGGAGCAAACAGGA
This 430-nucleotide ribosomal RNA is filed under the name Gemmatimonadota bacterium. RNAcentral's name for it is "Gemmatimonadetes bacterium partial 16S ribosomal RNA". It matches the Rfam family "Bacterial small subunit ribosomal RNA", at positions 355 to 777 of the family's 1533-position model. Lineage: Bacteria; Pseudomonadati; Gemmatimonadota. The record is from RNAcentral.